RNAcentral lists this transfer RNA (63 nucleotides) under Meloe proscarabaeus. RNAcentral's name for it is "tRNA-Pro". It matches the Rfam family "tRNA". Rfam says of the family: Transfer RNA (tRNA) molecules are approximately 80 nucleotides in length. Their secondary structure includes four short double-helical elements and three loops (D, anti-codon, and T loops). RNAcentral also lists the same sequence under 1 other name. The record is from RNAcentral. Lineage: Eukaryota; Metazoa; Arthropoda; Insecta; Coleoptera; Meloidae.
CAGGGAAUAGUUUAAUAAAAUAUUAAUUUUGGAGAUUAAAGAUAGGGGUUUCUCUUUCUCUGA